This 465-nucleotide ribosomal RNA is filed under the name Vreelandella stevensii. RNAcentral describes it as "partial 16S ribosomal RNA". It matches the Rfam family "Bacterial small subunit ribosomal RNA", at positions 338 to 795 of the family's 1533-position model. Lineage: Bacteria; Pseudomonadati; Pseudomonadota; Gammaproteobacteria; Oceanospirillales; Halomonadaceae. The record is from RNAcentral.
CCUACGGGAGGCUGCAGUGGGGAAUAUUGGACAAUGGGGGCAACCCUGAUCCAGCCAUGCCGCGUGUGUGAAGAAGGCCCUCGGGUUGUAAAGCACUUUCAGUGAGGAAGAACGCCUGGUGGUUAAUACCCAUCAGGAAAGACAUCACUCACAGAAGAAGCACCGGCUAACUCCGUGCCAGCAGCCGCGGUAAUACGGAGGGUGCGAGCGUUAAUCGGAAUUACUGGGCGUAAAGCGCGCGUAGGUGGCUUGAUAAGCCGGUUGUGAAAGCCCCGAGCUCAACCUGGGAACGGCAUCCGGAACUGUCAAGCUAGAGUGCAGGAGAGGAAGGUAGAAUUCCCGGUGUAGCGGUGAAAUGCGUAGAGAUCGGGAGGAAUACCAGUGGCGAAGGCGGCCUUCUGGACUGACACUGACACUGAGGUGCGAAAGCGUGGGUAGCAAACAGGAUUAGAUACCCCUGUAGUC